Molecule: ribosomal RNA, 397 nt
Filed under: uncultured bacterium
Lineage: Bacteria
Description: partial 16S ribosomal RNA
Rfam family: Bacterial small subunit ribosomal RNA
Source: RNAcentral
AUACGUAGGUGGCAAGCGUUGUCCGGAAUUAUUGGGCGUAAAGCGCGCGCAGGCGGUCCUUUAAGUCUGAUGUGAAAGCCCACGGCUCAACCGUGGAGGGUCAUUGGAAACUGGGGGACUUGAGUGCAGAAGAGGAAAGUGGAAUUCCAAGUGUAGCGGUGAAAUGCGUAGAGAUUUGGAGGAACACCAGUGGCGAAGGCGGCUUUCUGGUCUGUAACGGACGCUGAUGCGCGAAAGCGUGGGGAGCAAACAGGAUUAGAUACCCUGGUAGUCCACGCCGUAAACGAUGAGUGCUAAGUGUUAGGGGGUUUCCGCCCCUUAGUGCUGCAGCUAACGCAUUAAGCACUCCGCCUGGGGAGUACGGUCGCAAGACUGAAACUCAAAUGAAUUGACGGGG